UCCCUUCCAUUCAUUUCAAUGGAAGGACAGCGGAGAGGGCGGGGGACCUUGGGGUGGUGCGGUUGCGUCCGAGGCUGUGAAAAAUCUAAAAUUUCCCCAACUUUAUGCAAAACACCAGUGGCGACUAAUCAUAUCGAGUGGUUCCCAUGACGAAUUUGACGCUAUGCGACCCAAGCCUGGAGACUUUCUUCAGCAAAGAUGGCUGACAAAAAUACUAGGAUGGAAGCAAAUGGACUCCUGAAACAACCAGCAAACCAGUCUUGUGAAACAGUGGAUGUAAAGAAUCUAGCUAGCUAAAGCAUUUACUGCUAAUUUUAUGUACAAUUGUGUAAGCUUGCCUUUCUGUUAUUUGCCUUGCAAUGCAGAUGAAAUAACGUAAGUUAGCUAGUUAACUAUUUUCUUGCUUAUUGUGCAGUGGAGGAUAAAAAUACAUGUACGCCUAUGGAUAUGUAGCUAGCUAUGCAGCCGACCUGUGUAUGCACACUAAAACGUUUUGUAUACAUAUUAGUUCAGAAACUAGCUAUGAACCUCAGCUAUCAUAGCCAGUUGUAUCAACUUCAAAACAGUCUGAAUGACAAUGAAGUCUAUAGAUUGAGUAGAAUAUAAAUAACUUUGUGCCAAGGAUGCAAGUCGUAUAUACAUGUAGUUAUUACCAUGCUUGAGAUCCCCACAUUGUACCCUGUAACGUUACAUUUUAAUAUAUUCACUGAUCAUGUGCUCUACAUUGGCAAAUAAAGAUGCAGUUCAGGUA
This is a long non-coding RNA of Salvelinus fontinalis (brook trout), 751 nucleotides long. RefSeq lists it as uncharacterized. The record is from RefSeq and is a predicted model, not a curated record. Lineage: Eukaryota; Metazoa; Chordata; Actinopteri; Salmoniformes; Salmonidae. The transcript has 2 exons.